RNAcentral lists this ribosomal RNA (484 nucleotides) under uncultured bacterium. RNAcentral's name for it is "partial 16S ribosomal RNA". It matches the Rfam family "Bacterial small subunit ribosomal RNA", at positions 30 to 507 of the family's 1533-position model. The record is from RNAcentral.
AUUGAACGCUGGCGGCAGGCCUAACACAUGCAAGUCGAGCGGAUGAAGGGAGCUUGCUCCUGGAUUCAGCGGCGGACGGGUGAGUAAUGCCUAGGAAUCUGCCUGGUAGUGGGGGAUAACGUCCGGAAACGGGCGCUAAUACCGCAUACGUCCUGAGGGAGAAAGUGGGGGAUCUUCGGACCUCACGCUAUCAGAUGAGCCUAGGUCGGAUUAGCUAGUUGGUGGGGUAAAGGCCUACCAAGGCGACGAUCCGUAACUGGUCUGAGAGGAUGAUCAGUCACACUGGAACUGAGACACGGUCCAGACUCCUACGGGAGGCAGCAGUGGGGAAUAUUGGGCAAUGGGCGAAAGCCUGAUCCAGCCAUGCCGCGUGUGUGAAGAAGGUCUUCGGAUUGUAAAGCACUGUAAGUUGGGAGGAAGGGCAGUAAGUUAAUACCUUGCUGUCUUGACGUUACCAACAGAAUAAGCACCGGCUAACUUCGUG